CCACAACCCCGCUAAGAGCAGAGGAAAAAUCCUUGCCUAAAGAAAAAACCCUCGCCUAAAUAAAAACAAAAAGGAAGAUAAGAAGGGAAGACAAUGAACUACACCAACGAUAAGUGAAAAACAAACUACGUCAAAGAUACGAGGAACCUCAUCUCAAUGAGGAAGGAUAUUCCAAUCAAAAACUCUCAGUCGCUAAGAGAAAACUUGCCUAUGCCGAGGAGAAAUAGACAAAAGAAGUUCGGUAAACGACAACUCAAUACAAGAAUAGACAAGGUAAUGAAAAUUUUUUUUUUUAUUUCAUUAAUGA
This 307-nucleotide long non-coding RNA is filed under the name Elaeis guineensis (African oil palm). RNAcentral describes it as "long non-coding RNA (EGUI_LNC061891)". The record is from RNAcentral. Lineage: Eukaryota; Viridiplantae; Streptophyta; Magnoliopsida; Arecales; Arecaceae.